This 366-nucleotide ribosomal RNA is filed under the name uncultured eukaryote. RNAcentral describes it as "partial 18S ribosomal RNA". It matches the Rfam family "Eukaryotic small subunit ribosomal RNA", at positions 592 to 976 of the family's 1831-position model. The record is from RNAcentral.
CAAUAGCGUAUAUUAACGUUGUUGCAGUUAAAAAGCUCGUAGUUGGAUUUCUGGAGGGAGCGUCGGCCCGUAUUUACGAGUGCGUGACGUCUCUGUCCAUCCUUGCGGGAAGGCACGGCAUUGAUUUGUUGUGUCGGAUCGCAUCAUUUACUGUGAAAAAAUUAGAGUGUUCAAAGCAGGCUUUCGCUUGAAUACAUUAGCAUGGAAUAAUAAGAUAGGACUUUGGUGCUAUUUUGUUGGUUGAGCCUAAAGUAAUGAUUAAUAGGGAAAGUUGGGGGCACCUGUAUUGCGUUGUCAGAGGUGAAAUUCUUGGAUUUACGCAAGACAAACAGCUGCGAAAGCGUCUGCCAAGGAUGUUUUCAUUAA